This 315-nucleotide ribosomal RNA is filed under the name uncultured soil bacterium. RNAcentral describes it as "bacterial SSU rRNA". It matches the Rfam family "Bacterial small subunit ribosomal RNA", at positions 26 to 334 of the family's 1533-position model. The record is from RNAcentral.
AGGACGAACGCUGGCGGCGUGCUUAACACAUGCAAGUCGAGCGGAAAGGCCUUUCGGGGUACUCGAGCGGCGAACGGGUGAGUAACACGUGAGUAAUCUGCCCAUCGCUUCAGGAUAGCCAUCGGAAACGGUGAUUAAUACUGGAUAUGACAUUCCUUCGCAUGUUGGGGUGUGGUAAAGUUUUUUCGGCGGUGGAUGUGCUCGCGGCCUAUCAGUCUUGUUGGUGGGUAAUGGCUACCGAAGGUCUUUGGACGGGUAGCCGGCCGUGGAGAGGGUUCGACCGGCCACACGUGGGACUAGGAGACGACGGCCCAG